Molecule: long non-coding RNA, 524 nt
Filed under: Homo sapiens (human)
Lineage: Eukaryota; Metazoa; Chordata; Mammalia; Primates; Hominidae
Description: HSALNT0364877
Source: RNAcentral
GUGCUAAGGGAUGGAGAUACAAAGAUGACUGGAACACAGUUUCUGCUCCCUAGGAGUUCUCAGUCAAGACACACAAACCCAAUUUAUCUUCAGGCUGGAAAAAGAAAAGGAAGGCCUGAUGAAAACCGUGUAUUUGGCUUUGUUUACAUUAAUGAAGUGAUUGGACAGAAAAAGUCACAAUGACUUUUUUCUUUUGUGAAAAAAAUUAUUGGGAAUGGAAUUUUGAAGUCAGGGAGACUGAAAGAGGACUCACCUAUGUCUAUCUGGAAGAUGUAUCCAAAACACCCAGGAGUUUUGUGCGCAUGUGUAUGAAGGAAGUUCAGCUAGGAAAAGCUUGCAGCCUGGGCAAUACAGCAAGACCCCAAUUCUAAAAAAUUUUUUUUUUAAUUAGCUGGGUGUGAUGGUGUGGCACCUGUGGUCCUAGCUACUCAGGAGGCUGAGGUAGGAGGAUCACUUGAGACUGGGAGGUCAAGGCCGCAGGGAGAAAUAAUAGCAUCACUGUACUCUACCUCGACCCUGCCUCG